Molecule: ribosomal RNA, 137 nt
Filed under: uncultured eukaryote
Lineage: Eukaryota
Description: partial 18S ribosomal RNA
Rfam family: Eukaryotic small subunit ribosomal RNA
Source: RNAcentral
AGGUGGGGUGACUUGUCUGCUUAAUUGCGAUAACGAACGAGACCUUAACCUGCUAAAUAGCCCGCAUUGCUCCGGCAGUGCGCUGGCUUCUUAGAGGGACUUUCGGCUCAAGCCGAAGGAAGUUUGAGGCAAUAACA